Molecule: long non-coding RNA, 293 nt
Organism: Gavialis gangeticus (Gharial)
Lineage: Eukaryota; Metazoa; Chordata; Crocodylia; Gavialidae
Exons: 3
Source: RefSeq, a predicted model, not a curated record
CUGAGGAGUAACAUAUGUGAAGCCCUGUGAAACCUUAUAGUCACCUGUCACCUGAACUGACAGCUGUGAUUAGGCUGGGCUGGGAGAUGAAGUGGAGGGAGGUCUAGUUUGCAGCCACUUGUUUGCAGUGGGAUCGCAUUUGUUUACAGCCACUCACAGCCUGCUACCCACCAUGGCCAAGCACACUUUCUCAGUCAUUUUGGUCUGAAUGCUUCUUUUCCACUCACAAGAUUCACUGAGUGCAUCUUUUGAGAGCUGCAAGUGUCCUUAAUUCACACUAUUUCCCGCAUUUC